Molecule: transfer RNA, 84 nt
Filed under: Candidatus Omnitrophota bacterium
Lineage: Bacteria; Pseudomonadati; Candidatus Omnitrophota
Description: Candidatus Omnitrophica bacterium (groundwater metagenome) tRNA-Leu
Rfam family: tRNA
About the family: Transfer RNA (tRNA) molecules are approximately 80 nucleotides in length. Their secondary structure includes four short double-helical elements and three loops (D, anti-codon, and T loops). Further hydrogen bonds mediate the characteristic L-shaped molecular structure. tRNAs have two regions of fundamental functional importance: the anti-codon, which is responsible for specific mRNA codon recognition, and the 3' end, to which the tRNAs corresponding amino acid is attached (by aminoacyl-tRNA synthetases). tRNAs cope with the degeneracy of the genetic code in two manners: having more than one tRNA (with a specific anti-codon) for a particular amino acid; and 'wobble' base-pairing, i.e. permitting non-standard base-pairing at the 3rd anti-codon position.
Source: RNAcentral
GGGCGAGUGGUGAAACUGGCAAACACUACGGACUUAAAAUCCGUUGCCCGAAAGGGCUUGGGGGUUCGAAUCCCUCCUCGCCCA